Molecule: ribosomal RNA, 952 nt
Filed under: Haynesina sp. S16
Lineage: Eukaryota; Foraminifera; Rotaliida; Nonionidae
Description: SSU rRNA
Rfam family: Eukaryotic small subunit ribosomal RNA
Source: RNAcentral
AAGGGCACCACAAGAACGCGUGGAGCAUGUGGCUUAAUUUGACUCAACGCGGGAAAUCUUACCGGGUCCGGACACACUGAGGAUUGACAGACAAAUACACACACUACGGUGUGUGCAUGAAAUAUGCUAGUUCUUUCAUGAUUAUGUGAUAGGUGGUGCAUGGCCGUUCUUAGUUCGUGGAGUGAUCUGUCUGCUUAAUUGCGUUUCACUAAAGGCACAUACACAUAAUAUUGAUGUGUUGUGUAUAAUUUAUAUUAUACGCAUACUCAUAUUAUAUUGUGCUUUGAAAGCAACGAACGUGACCGCAACCUCUUGUUGCCUGUAUAUAUAUGUGUAUUUUAUACACACCACAGGCUAUUAUAAACUAGAGGGACCGCUGUUACUUUCUUUUAAACCAGAGGAAGGUUGCGGCAAUAACAGGUCUGUGAUGCCCUUAGAUGUUCCGGGCUGCACACGUGCUACAAUGAUCAUUGCAGUGCGCAUCUCAUUUUGUUAUACACUGCUUGUGCGUAUGUGCAUCACAUAUAUUUAUAUGUGUGUGUGUAUGUAUUGCACGCAGUAAAGCCUACUUCGAAAGUUGUGGGUAAUCAAUUUGAAGUAAUGAUUUCUCCAAAUAUAUACUGCACACUCAUAUACAGUGUCUUAUGUCCAUGAAAAUAUUUUAUAUUUCUGUGUGUGCAUUCGAUGCUCGUAUGUGCAAUUGUCAAUUCAUGGUGGGGACAGACCAUUGUUAAUUGUUGGUCUCGGUCUUAACUAGGAAUGCCUUGUACGGGUCUUUGGUUCAACAAACCACCCGGAAUACGUCCCUGCCCUUUGUACACACCGCCCGUCGCUCUUACCGAUGGACUUCUCUGUGAGUUUGAGGGACUGGAUUUUAUAUCUAUGGAAACUCAAACGAACAGUGUGGUCUAAAGGAAAGAGAAGUCGUAACAAGGCAUCCGUAGGUGAACCU